This 71-nucleotide transfer RNA is filed under the name Oenococcus oeni. RNAcentral's name for it is "tRNA-Met". It matches the Rfam family "tRNA". From Rfam's summary of the family: Transfer RNA (tRNA) molecules are approximately 80 nucleotides in length. RNAcentral also lists the same sequence under 3 other names. Lineage: Bacteria; Bacillati; Bacillota; Bacilli; Lactobacillales; Lactobacillaceae. The record is from RNAcentral.
AGUGGUGUUGAGUAACGGUUACUCAGUUGUUUCAUAAGCAAUUUUUAUAGGUUCGACUCCUGUCACCACGU